RNAcentral lists this transfer RNA (73 nucleotides) under Neurospora tetrasperma FGSC 2509. RNAcentral's name for it is "tRNA-Thr (AGT) (tRNA-Thr-AGT-2-1)". It matches the Rfam family "tRNA". From Rfam's summary of the family: Transfer RNA (tRNA) molecules are approximately 80 nucleotides in length. Their secondary structure includes four short double-helical elements and three loops (D, anti-codon, and T loops). The record is from RNAcentral. Lineage: Eukaryota; Fungi; Ascomycota; Sordariomycetes; Sordariales; Sordariaceae.
GUGCGGUUGGCGUAGUGGUCAACGCGUUCGCUCAGUAAGCGAAAGAACCCGGGUUCGAGUCCCGGACCGCACA